Micropterus dolomieu (smallmouth bass) is the source of this 826-nucleotide long non-coding RNA. RefSeq lists it as uncharacterized. The transcript has 3 exons. NCBI's taxonomy places the organism in Eukaryota, Metazoa, Chordata, Actinopteri, Centrarchiformes, Centrarchidae. The record is from RefSeq and is a predicted model, not a curated record.
CUACAAUUUAAAGACGUUUUUUUUGUUUUGCUGUAAGCAUACCACUAUAACUCAUCUCUGAUAUUCUACAGUAAGACUCUCAGUACCUUUUCAUUACUACUACUAUCGAUGCUGUCAACUCAUUUUUAGCUAAGUUCUUCGGUUGGUGCAGAAAGAAGACACAAGAAGUUCAGGCAUGAAAUACUAUGACGUCCUUCAUGCAGAGGGGAGAGAGAGAGAGAUUACAUCUUGGCAGUUGCAAAACCCAACUGACUGUUGACGUGACACAUAACAACAGCCAAGAGACAACAGCAAUAAGUCACGCUCGUGAACCCAGAAGGCAAAUGUGAUCAGGUGUUAUUUUUAAAGCGAUGCAAAUCAAGCCAAAGUGAUACAUGUUGAAAGGCUGAACCUUUGGAAAGGAACUGUCAGAAACGUUUCUUUGCUUUGAUCAGCAGGCAGGACAGGGGACGAGAGCAAGAAAUGUCAGCCUCUUCUUCUGCACAUGUUCAUAUGUUAUUCUUCUAUAAACGGUCUAAAAUCUCAUUACAGUAUUUACACAUGAAGGGUGUGUAUCAGACAAAGUGUGUGUUGCGUAUCCUGGAUUAACCCCCUCUGAUUUGAGUCCGUCAGCAGCCUCCUCUGCUCAGAAACAGUGAAUGACACUGGAUCCCCGCUUUAUUGGUAAUGUUAAGUACCAAUAUGAAGUCAGGAGCCCAGUAAUGACCCCCUGGGGAGGGAAGCACUUUGGUGAAUUGGGAAGAUCAUAAACUCCAGAGUAUUAAAGUGCCCUAGCAGCUGCAGCGCUCUAUUGACAAAUGUUUCUCUGAUGAUUUCUGAGCAGCCA